CCAAUAGCAUAUAUUAAAGUUGUUGCAGUUAAAAAGCUCGUAGUUGAAUUUCGGGACCAAUCUGCCGGUCGUGCCUCCGGUACGCACUGGUUUUAUUGGUUUCUCCCUUCUGACGAACCAUGAUGUCAUUAAUUUGGUGUCAUGGGGAAUCAGGACUGUUACUUUGAAAAAAUUAGAGUGUUUAUAGCAGGCUAACGCUUGAAUACAUUAGCAUGGAAUAAUGAAAUAGGACGUUUGACCCUAUUUUGUUGGUUUCUAGGAUCGACGGAAUGAUUAAUAGGGGUAGUUGGGGGCAUUAGUAUUCAAUUGUCAGAGGUGAAAUUCUUGGAUUUAUUGAAGACUAACUACUGCGAAAGCAUUUGCCAAGGAUGUUUUCAUUAAUCAAGAACGAAAGUUAGGGGAUCGAAGACGAUCAGAUACCGUCGUAGUCUUAACCAUAAACUAUGCCGACUAGGGAUCGGAUGAUGUUAUUUUUAAUGACUCAUUCGGCGCCUUACG
This 498-nucleotide unclassified non-coding RNA is filed under the name uncultured Glomus. RNAcentral's name for it is "SSU rRNA". It matches the Rfam family "Eukaryotic small subunit ribosomal RNA", at positions 591 to 1092 of the family's 1831-position model. Lineage: Eukaryota; Fungi; Glomeromycota; Glomeromycetes; Glomerales; Glomeraceae. The record is from RNAcentral.